GACGAACGCUGGCGGCGUGCUUAACACAUGCAAGUCGAACGAAGUAGCGAACGGGUGCGUAAUACGUGGGUACCCUGCCCUCCUUUUUGGGAUAAGCCUUGGUAACGGGGUCUAAUACCUAAUACCGGGGGGUGGGCUCGCGGUGUAUCAGCUGGUUGGUGUGGUGAUGGCCUACCAAGGCGGUGCCGGGUAGCCGGCCGGAGAGGGUGACCGGCAACAUUGGGACUGAGAUACGGCCCAGACUCCUACGGGAGGCAGCAGUGGGGAAUAUUGGACAAUGGACGAAAGCCUGAUGCAGCAACGCCGCGUGGGGGAUGAAGGCUUUCGGGUUGUAAAGCACUGUCAGCGGGGAGGCGGUAUCCGAAGAGGAAGCACCGGCUAAAUACGUGCCAGCAGCCGCGGUAAUUC
RNAcentral lists this ribosomal RNA (408 nucleotides) under uncultured bacterium. Its description in RNAcentral is "partial 16S ribosomal RNA". It matches the Rfam family "Bacterial small subunit ribosomal RNA", at positions 28 to 526 of the family's 1533-position model. The record is from RNAcentral.